UACGUAGGGGGCAAGCGUUGUCCGGAUUUAUUGGGCGUAAAGAGCGUGUAGGCGGCCAGGUAGGUCAGCUGUGAAAACUCGAGGCUCAACCUCGAGACGUCGGUUGAAACCACCUGGCUAGAGUCCGGAAGAGGAGAGUGGAAUUCCUGGUGUAGCGGUGAAAUGCGCAGAUAUCAGGAGGAACACCGAUGGCGAAGGCAGGUCUCUGGGCCACUACUGACGCUGAGGCGCGAAAGCGUGGGGAGCAAACGGG
This 253-nucleotide ribosomal RNA is filed under the name uncultured bacterium. RNAcentral describes it as "partial 16S ribosomal RNA". It matches the Rfam family "Bacterial small subunit ribosomal RNA", at positions 524 to 776 of the family's 1533-position model. The record is from RNAcentral.